GUUAAAAGCCAGGAAUGACAUGCUAACUGUCCAUGCUAGAAGGCCUUCAUCUUGCAUUAUCCAGCAGAUUCAUCAAGACUCUCAAGAGGAUUUGAGCAGUGAACGAGGGUGUGCUUCAGUGGGUACAUGAUGUCAGACAGUGGGCUACUGAGGGAUUCUGUAGGUACCAGAUAUGAUGACCAACAUAACCUUCAGAAAUCAACUGAACAAAUGUUUCUAGCCUUUAUAAUCAGACUGAAUCCAGCAACAUCCUCACCAAGAAGAAGAGUUUGAUGCGUACAUGUCAAAAGUGUGUCUUGAAGAGGAAAGACUGAUUGUGAUGAGGGAGAUGAGACAGCACUGCACCGAGCUCAGAAAGAUGGCUGGGAACAUCAGGACAAUGACAUCAGAAAUGAACUUUUGUUACACCUUCUUGUGUGAGAAGCUUUUGGGGAGACUGGGUUCCUACCCAACCACUGUUAUAUGUCCUUUUUAUGAACAUAGUCUUUUGAUUAAUGUGUAUUUUUAUUUUAUUU
Carassius gibelio (silver crucian carp) is the source of this 515-nucleotide long non-coding RNA. RefSeq lists it as uncharacterized. The record is from RefSeq and is a predicted model, not a curated record. Lineage: Eukaryota; Metazoa; Chordata; Actinopteri; Cypriniformes; Cyprinidae. The transcript is spliced from 4 exons.